AAUGGACGAAAGUCUGACGCAGCGACGCCGCGUGGGUGACGAAGGCCUUCGGGUUGUAAAGCCCUGUGGGGCGAGACGAACAGCUUCUGGUCGAACAGGCCAGGGGUUUGACGGUAUCGCCUUAGCAAGCACCGGCUAACUCUGUGCCAGCAGCCGCGGUAAUACAGAGGGUGCAAACGUUGCUCGGAAUUACUGGGCGUAAAGCGCGUGUAGGCGGUUUUAUAAGUCCGACGUGAAAGCCCGGGGCUCAACCCCGGAAGUGCGCUGGAUACUGUGAAGCUGGAGUCCUGAAGAGGAGAGCGGAAUUCCCGGUGUAGAGGUGAAAUUCGUAGAUAUCGGGAGGAACACCUGUGGCGAAGGCGGCUCUCUGGGCAGGUACUGACGCUGAGACGCGAAAGCGUGGGGAGCAAA
RNAcentral lists this ribosomal RNA (411 nucleotides) under uncultured bacterium. RNAcentral describes it as "bacterial SSU rRNA". It matches the Rfam family "Bacterial small subunit ribosomal RNA", at positions 370 to 772 of the family's 1533-position model. The record is from RNAcentral.